This 253-nucleotide ribosomal RNA is filed under the name uncultured bacterium. RNAcentral describes it as "partial 16S ribosomal RNA". It matches the Rfam family "Bacterial small subunit ribosomal RNA", at positions 524 to 776 of the family's 1533-position model. The record is from RNAcentral.
UACGAAGGGAGCUAGCGUUGUUCGGAAUCACUGGGCGUAAAGCGCACGUAGGCGGAUUUGUCAGUCAGGGGUGAAAUCCCGGGGCUCAACCUCGGAACUGCCUUUGAUACAGCAAGUCUUGAGUUCGAGAGAGGUGGGUGGAAUUCCUAGUGUAGAGGUGAAAUUCGUAGAUAUUAGGAAGAACACCGGUGGCGAAGGCGGCCCACUGGCUCGAUACUGACGCUGAGGUGCGAAAGCAUGGGGAGCGAACAGG